UGUUACUUUAUUUUUGUUUAAAAACAGAUCAUACAGUGAAUGUCAUCAGACAAACGAAUGCGUAUUUGUAUUAUUUUAGGAGAGUCCAAGUUAACUUGUGAACCAGCCUUUUGACGUUAUAGUCUGUUUGUGAAUUCUUUGUUUGGAAUGUUUUAGUUUUGUUUUAGUUCAGUUAUUUGUUGCUUUGGCUGUAUGUUUAGUUAUUUUUGUUUCCAUGUUUUCAUGUCAUGUCACACCCCGUGCUCUGUUUCAUGUCUCCCCUGUCUUUCAUGCUUAUCCAUGUGUGUUCAGCCCAUCAUGUCUCGUUCCCUCUUUCUCGUGACCCCUGGGGUUAAGUUUCCCUCCGCCUCGCUGUCUCUCGUGUCAAGCUUGAGCGUCCCAGUUUACGUUGCUCCAUGUUUCUUGUUUUAUUUUGAAGUUCUUGUGUUCCACGUUAAGUGUGUUUAGUUUUGCUUUUCCCCUGUGGUGUCAUGUUCAUUUGUAUCAGCUGUUUCCCCGUGUGUUUCCACUUCCCCUGAUCACCUCCUGUCUGUUUAUAGUCUGUGAGUUUUCAUUCAUUCUUUCUCAGGACGUCUGUUAUGUUAACGCCAUGUUUCCAAGGUUUCACACUUCCAGCGCAGACUGUGACAGGUCUCAGUGUAACCCUGGAUAAGUGUAGCCCAAAUCAGUUGUUUUGUUUGGAUGUGCUGUAAAGUGCAUGUUGUUUACACAGAACUUUGGACAAGAAACAUUAUGUAGCACACAAUAUGGUUUACGGACCACUCAACGCAUUAGACUACACAUCUGACCAAGCAUGACGACAUAUUCAUAUUUCUUCAAUAUGCUUUCUAUGCCUGUCAGCCAAUUUGGAAUCACCAGUUAACCCAAUAUAAAGCACUUCUGGGAGGGGGUGGAGCAGUGCAUUCAGGGUGUGGUGUCAGGUGAGGCUGGCUCACACACCUGACCCCCUUCAUCUGACCAUGAGUAUGUCGCCGGGACCUGAAGAGAGAACUGCGUGUGGUGUGAAGCCGAAGGAGG
Oreochromis aureus is the source of this 1017-nucleotide long non-coding RNA. RefSeq lists it as uncharacterized. NCBI's taxonomy places the organism in Eukaryota, Metazoa, Chordata, Actinopteri, Cichliformes, Cichlidae. The transcript is spliced from 4 exons. The record is from RefSeq and is a predicted model, not a curated record.